AUUUCUGCAAGCCAUUGCAGACAACAACAUUCAGGAUCACAACGUGAAGGACUUUUUGUGUCAAAUAGAAAGGUACUGUAGGCAGUGCCAUUUGACCACUGCCUCUUAAAACAUGAAGAUUUAGGUCAUGUGGCAUUAUCUUUAGUUCAUGCAGGUGCACUUGGUAUUGAGCAAAAGUCAGUGGUGGAUGUUUGUAGAGUUGUCUACCAAGCAAAAUGUUCGCUCAUUAAGACUCAUCAAGAACAGGACCGUUCUUACAAGGAGGUCUGCGCUCCUGUCAUCGAACGUUUGAGAUUCCUCUUUAAUGAAUUGAGACCUGCUG
Molecule: long non-coding RNA, 322 nt
Filed under: Homo sapiens (human)
Lineage: Eukaryota; Metazoa; Chordata; Mammalia; Primates; Hominidae
Description: non-protein coding lnc-GOLGA8F-9:1
Source: RNAcentral